Molecule: ribosomal RNA, 259 nt
Filed under: uncultured bacterium
Lineage: Bacteria
Description: partial 16S ribosomal RNA
Rfam family: Bacterial small subunit ribosomal RNA
Source: RNAcentral
UACGGGGGGGGGCAAGCGUUGUUCGGAAUUACUGGGCGUAAAGGGCUCGUAGGCGGCCAACUAAGUCAGACGUGAAAUCCCUCGGCUUAACCGGGGAACUGCGUCUGAUACUGGAUGGCUUGAGGUUGGGAGAGGGAUGCGGAAUUCCAGGUGUAGCGGUGAAAUGCGCAGAUAUCAGGAAGAACCACCCGUGGCGAAGGCGGCUCUCUGGGGACGGUACUGACGCUGAGACGCGAAAAGCGUGGGGGAGCAAAACAGG